AUGACUGCUCAUGCAGGGUGCUGGAUCAUUGAAAUUGAUGUUCCGGUUGAAUCAUCUUUCAAGCCUGAAGACCCUGAAAUACCUGGGAGAGUAUUCGAGAGUACAUUAUUGUUGAAUGAUGAUCCCCUUGACAAAACCAGGAGCAAUUUAAUUUCUAUCAGAGGUGGCUUUGUGAACAUCACCUCGGUGACUUUCAGCAAUGCGGUUUGCUCUUCAAUUCGAUUUGUACCUUGUUCUCACCCUGAUGACAGUUUCUAUGUGCACCCUAAAGUGGAGGGUGAGCUUGUAUUAUCUGUUGAAAAUUAUCCAGUUGGCUUCACUAUUUCCAAAAAUCAAGUUGAGGAUGAUGCUGUUCAUUUCAUGAGACGGAGUGGCACAAUAUUCGAACUUCCCUUGUCUCGGCAUGUUCUUGCACUGCCUGUUGAAUCUCGUGUACAUGUCUUGGGGACUUUGAAACUAGCGACUUUGGAAGUGCUUGUAGAUCAGUAUCUGGUGCUCGACAAGAAUGUUGUACGGGCUGGAUGGACUGUGGAAACGGGCCUGUAUGCUGCUAUAUGCAUUGAGUCAAGUUCUGUUUUCUAG
This 582-nucleotide ribosomal RNA is filed under the name Triticum aestivum (bread wheat). Its description in RNAcentral is "partial small subunit ribosomal RNA". Lineage: Eukaryota; Viridiplantae; Streptophyta; Magnoliopsida; Poales; Poaceae. The record is from RNAcentral.